Molecule: long non-coding RNA, 1304 nt
Organism: Perognathus longimembris pacificus (Pacific pocket mouse)
Lineage: Eukaryota; Metazoa; Chordata; Mammalia; Rodentia; Heteromyidae
Exons: 3
Source: RefSeq, a predicted model, not a curated record
GGGUACAGUUACAUAGUAGGGCAGUGUGUACAUUUCUUAAUUUUUCUCUUAAAUAGCAGUUAGAAUUCAAAGACAACAACUAAUGACCAUUUCAUCUUUAUUUUUACUGAUCAAAUAGGAUUUCUAAAUUAAACUUAUGACAAAGUUGGAUUUGUUAUAUAGAUUAUGAGAAUUAUAAAUAUGUAUUAUUAAUAAUUACCUCAAAACUCAGUAUGGACCGAAUGUUCCAAGACUAUAUGUAUCUAUCUACUUAAAUACUUACUGAUAUCCAGCUGCUCAAUCAAAUGGAAUAUCACUGAUAUCAGCCCGCAGUUCUAAAGAUUAUAGAGACUAACUACCCCAAUGAUGAUUAAAUUCAAUAAAAGAAGGCUCUCUGUGGUAAGCUAGCUAGCUAGAUUGAUACUCCUGUGAGCUGAACUGAGUAUUGCUGAUCUAUAGGCUGAGGUUUCUUGAGACAUCACAAGGACAUCAGUGAAAUAAACUAUAAUCAAUGCUGUUAAUGAAAAAAUCAUCGUAAGGGCCAAAUAAAAUGUUUCUGAAAUCAAUAUACAAUUGCAGAAUAAUAUGAGGAGAAAACAAAGUUCAUUAGAUCAUUAACUAUACUCAAUCUUUCAUUCUUUAGUACCUGGAUGCUUCAUAAGCAUUUCCUGAGCCAUUGUGAACUUCUGUGAGCUUCAUCAAUAUGAACCAACGCUCAAGUGCACCAAAGUAUGUGUACCAUGCACACUUUUCCAAAACCAUAUGUAACAUAAAAUAAACUUACAAUACAAAAGACUAGAUCUGGAAUAUUAGAAUAAACCUGGAUGCACAAACCAUUGUCUUAUAAAGCCUGGAUUAUCCCCAAAUCUACUUCUCCCAUCUUCCAACUAGACCUGUAAAACUACAUCAGAUUGAGUAGGAUUACUUGUAAUCUCAAGGCUCUGCGCUUUUGAGAGUUGUGGAGCCUCCUGCUGAAUAGAUAAGGGUAAGAAGUAAUAAACUCAAGAGACCACUGGCUUCUGAUCCCAUCCUGGUUCUUGGCCAGGUAUCAUGCAGUUUUGGAAAAUAUUAAAAUAAUACAUGGGCUUGCUUUUCCUUAAAUUAAUAUGAAUUCAAUGAAAAACACUUAGAAAAUUGCCUCAAGUUUUGUCAGUGUGAAGGAAGAGAAAGUAAUUGGAAUGUGAUAUGUAAAGCUAAAAGCUCAGUGACAACAGACUGAGAAUACCAUUUGUCGGCAUUUUGGAACGUCUUUCACAAAGUGCCAAUGCGAUCUUCUGUUAAAUGAUCCCAUCUGCUGCACACACCACUUGUUUGUUAAGCACACA